RNAcentral lists this ribosomal RNA (257 nucleotides) under uncultured bacterium. RNAcentral describes it as "partial 16S ribosomal RNA". It matches the Rfam family "Bacterial small subunit ribosomal RNA", at positions 526 to 779 of the family's 1533-position model. The record is from RNAcentral.
CGUAGGUGCGAGCGUUGUCCGGAAUUACUGGGCGUAAAGAGCUCGUAGGUGGUUUGUCGCGUCGUCUGUGAAAUCCCGGGCGUUAACUUCGGGCGUGCAGGCGAUACGGGCGAUAACUAGAGUGCUGUAGGGGAGGACUGGAAUUCCUGGUGUAGCGGUGAAAUAGCGCAGAUAUCAGGAGGAACACCGAUGGCGAAGGCAGGUCGUCUGGGCAGUUACUGACGCUGAGGAGCGAAAGCAUGGGUAGCGACAGGAUU